CCUAACCUUUGAGACCGGGAUAGCCCUGAGAAAUCAGGAUUAAUACCGGAUGUGGUCACGACAAGGCAUCUUGAUGUGAACAAAGGCGCAAGCCGCUCAAAGACGGGCUCGCGGCUUAUUAGCUUGUUGGUGGGGUGAUGGCCUACCAAGGCGAUGAUGAGUAGCUGGUCUGAGAGGACGAUCAGCCACACUGGGACUGAGACACGGCCCAG
This 212-nucleotide ribosomal RNA is filed under the name uncultured bacterium. RNAcentral's name for it is "partial 16S ribosomal RNA". It matches the Rfam family "Bacterial small subunit ribosomal RNA", at positions 124 to 334 of the family's 1533-position model. The record is from RNAcentral.